Molecule: long non-coding RNA, 259 nt
Organism: Myotis davidii
Lineage: Eukaryota; Metazoa; Chordata; Mammalia; Chiroptera; Vespertilionidae
Exons: 2
Source: RefSeq, a predicted model, not a curated record
GCGCCCCGCCCUCGCCGGCCCCGCCCCUGCAGCCGGGCCCCGCAGACCCACCGCGGAACGUGGGCAAAGGCCCGGCGCACAGAGACUGUCACUUUUUAGAUCGUGCAGGCAGAGGUGGGAAAUAAUUCAGUUGCCGUGUUUCCCCCCAGUGCUAUCACUUCGCAAAACAGUAAAAAAGGGGGAAAAGUAUAUUAUAACCAAGAUACUGACUUUGAUACAAUCCACCGAUCUUAAUAAAAUUUCCCCAAAUUACCCCGUC